Small nuclear RNA from Pipistrellus kuhlii (Kuhl's pipistrelle), 106 nucleotides. The record is from RefSeq and is a predicted model, not a curated record. NCBI's taxonomy places the organism in Eukaryota, Metazoa, Chordata, Mammalia, Chiroptera, Vespertilionidae.
GUGCUCGCUUCGGCAGCACAUUCACUAAAACUGGAACGAUACAGAGAAGAUUAGCAGGGGCCUGCAUGAGGAUGACAUGCAAAUUGAUGAAGGGUUCCAUAUUUUA